Molecule: ribosomal RNA, 465 nt
Filed under: uncultured Klebsiella sp.
Lineage: Bacteria; Pseudomonadati; Pseudomonadota; Gammaproteobacteria; Enterobacterales; Enterobacteriaceae
Description: bacterial SSU rRNA
Rfam family: Bacterial small subunit ribosomal RNA
Source: RNAcentral
CCUACGGGUGGCAGCAGUGGGGAAUAUUGCACAAUGGGCGCAAGCCUGAUGCAGCCAUGCCGCGUGUGUGAAGAAGGCCUUCGGGUUGUAAAGCACUUUCAGCGGGGAGGAAGGCGUUAAGGUUAAUAACCUUGUCGAUUGACGUUACCCGCAGAAGAAGCACCGGCUAACUCCGUGCCAGCAGCCGCGGUAAUACGGAGGGUGCAAGCGUUAAUCGGAAUUACUGGGCGUAAAGCGCACGCAGGCGGUCUGUCAAGUCGGAUGUGAAAUCCCCGGGCUCAACCUGGGAACUGCAUUCGAAACUGGCAGGCUAGAGUCUUGUAGAGGGGGGUAGAAUUCCAGGUGUAGCGGUGAAAUGCGUAGAGAUCUGGAGGAGUACCGGUGGCGAAGGCGGCCCCCUGGACAAAGACUGACGCUCAGGUGCGAAAGCGUGGGGAGCAAACAGGAUUAGAUACCCUUGUAGUC